Molecule: transfer RNA, 58 nt
Filed under: Podarcis lilfordi (Lilford's wall lizard)
Lineage: Eukaryota; Metazoa; Chordata; Lepidosauria; Squamata; Lacertidae
Description: tRNA.Leu
Source: RNAcentral
GCCAGAGCUCAGUGGUAAAAGUGCGUGUUUGUCCCUGGUUCAAUUCCAGGUAUCUCCU